RNAcentral lists this ribosomal RNA (438 nucleotides) under uncultured bacterium. Its description in RNAcentral is "bacterial SSU rRNA". It matches the Rfam family "Bacterial small subunit ribosomal RNA", at positions 29 to 514 of the family's 1533-position model. The record is from RNAcentral.
AACGAACGCUGGCGGCAGGCCUAACACAUGCAAGUCGAGCGCGCCUUCGGGUGAGCGGCGGACGGGUUAGUAACGCGUGGGAACGUGCCCUUCUCUACGGAAUAGCCUCUGGAAACGGAGAGUAAUACCGUAUACGCCCUUUGGGGGAAAGAUUUAUCGGAGAAGGAUCGGCCCGCGUUAGAUUAGGUAGUUGGUGGGGUAAUGGCCUACCAAGCCGACGAUCUAUAGCUGGUUUGAGAGGAUGAUCAGCAACACUGGGACUGAGACACGGCCCAGACUUCUACGGAAGGCAGCAGUAGGGAAUCUUGGACAAUGGGCGAAAGCCUGAUCCAGCCAUGCCGCGUGAGUGAUGAAGGCCCUAGGGUUGUAAAGCUCUUUCGCCAGGGAAGAUAAUGACGGUACCUGGUAAAGAAACCCCGGCUAACUCCGUGCCAGCAG